UAAUACCCGAUGGUAUAAUCAGACCGCAUGGUCUUGUUAUUAAAGAAUUUCGGUUAUCGAUGGGGAUGCGUUCCAUUAGGCAGUUGGUGAGGUAACGGCUCACCAAACCUUCGAUGGAUAGGGGUUCUGAGAGGAAGGUCCCCCACAUUGGAACUGAGACACGGUCCAAACUCCUACGGGAGGCAGCAGUGAGGAAUAUUGGUCAAUGGGCGCAGGCCUGAACCAGCCAAGUAGCGUGAAGGAUGACUGCCCUAUGGGUUGUAAACUUCUUUUAUAUGGGAAUAAAGUUUUCCACGUGUGGAAUUUUGUAUGUACCAUAUGAAUAAGGAUCGGCUAACUCCGUGCCAGCAGCCGCGGUAAUACGGAGGAUCCGAGCGUUAUCCGGAUUUAUUGGGUUUAAAGGGAGCGUAGGUGGACAGUUAAGUCAGUUGUGAAAGUUUGCGGCUCAACCGUAAAAUUGCAGUUGAUACUGGCUGUCUUGAGUACAGUAGAGGUGGGCGGAAUUCGUGGUGUAGCGGUGAAAUGCUUAGAUAUCACGAAGAACUCCGAUUGCGAAGGCAGCUCACUGGACUGCAACUGACACUGAUGCUCGAAAGUGUGGGUAUCAAACAGGAUUAGAUACCCUGGUAGUCCACACAGUAAACGAUGAAUACUCGCUGUUUGCGAUAUACAGUAAGCGGCCAAGCGAAAGCAUUAAGUAUUCCACCUGGGGAGUACGCCGGCAACGGUGAAACUCAAAGGAAUUGACGGGGGCCCGCACAAGCGGAGGAACAUGUGGUUUAAUUCGAUGAUACGCGAGGAACCUUACCCGGGCUUAAAUUGCAUUUGAAUAUAUUGGAAACAGUAUAGCCGUAAGGCAAAUGUGAAGGUGCUGCAUGGUUGUCGUCAGCUCGUGCCGUGAGGUGUCGGCUUAAGUGCCAUAACGAGCGCAACCCUUAUCUUUAGUUACUAACAGGUCAUGCUGAGGACUCUAGAGAGACUGCCGUCGUAAGAUGUGAGGAAGGUGGGGAUGACGUCAAAUCAGCACGGCCCUUACGUCCGGGGCUACACACGUGUUACAAUGGGGGGUACAGAAGGCAGCUACCUGGUGACAGGAUGCUAAUCCCAAA
RNAcentral lists this ribosomal RNA (1109 nucleotides) under Bacteroides thetaiotaomicron. RNAcentral describes it as "bacterial SSU rRNA". It matches the Rfam family "Bacterial small subunit ribosomal RNA", at positions 164 to 1278 of the family's 1533-position model. The record is from RNAcentral. Lineage: Bacteria; Pseudomonadati; Bacteroidota; Bacteroidia; Bacteroidales; Bacteroidaceae.